RNAcentral lists this ribosomal RNA (465 nucleotides) under Vreelandella stevensii. RNAcentral's name for it is "partial 16S ribosomal RNA". It matches the Rfam family "Bacterial small subunit ribosomal RNA", at positions 338 to 795 of the family's 1533-position model. The record is from RNAcentral. Lineage: Bacteria; Pseudomonadati; Pseudomonadota; Gammaproteobacteria; Oceanospirillales; Halomonadaceae.
CCUACGGGGUGCUGCAGUGGGGAAUAUUGGACAAUGGGCGAAAGCCUGAUCCAGCCAUGCCGCGUGUGUGAAGAAGGCCUUCGGGUGGUAAAGCACUUUCAGUGGGGAAGAAAGCCUUGGGGCUAAUACCCUCGAGGAAGGACAUCACCCACAGAAGAAGCACCGGCUAACUCCGUGCCAGCAGCCGCGGUAAUACGGAGGGUGCGAGCGUUAAUCGGAAUUACUGGGCGUAAAGCGCGCGUAGGCGGUCUGAUAAGCCGGUUGUGAAAGCCCCGGGCUCAACCUGGGAACGGCAUCCGGAACUGUCAGGCUAGAGUGCAGGAGAGGAAGGUAGAAUUCCCGGUGUAGCGGUGAAAUGCGUAGAGAUCGGGAGGAAUACCAGUGGCGAAGGCGGCCUUCUGGACUGACACUGACGCUGAGGUGCGAAAGCGUGGGUAGCAAACAGGAUUAGAUACCCCGGUAGUC